RNAcentral lists this ribosomal RNA (1039 nucleotides) under Micropsitta finschii. RNAcentral describes it as "partial 16S ribosomal RNA". The stretch from base 423 to 1039 matches the Rfam family "Archaeal large subunit ribosomal RNA", at positions 1423 to 2658 of the family's 2987-position model. Lineage: Eukaryota; Metazoa; Chordata; Aves; Psittaciformes; Psittacidae. The record is from RNAcentral.
GGGUGAUAGCUGGUUGCCUGAAAAACGAAUCUAAGUUCUCCCUUAGUCCCUUCCCACCCAGACAACCAGCCAACCCCCAUGUAACAGACUAAGAGAUAGUUAAAGGAGGUACAGCCCCUCUAACACAGGAUACAACCUCCCCUAGCGGAUAACCCCAUACCCAACCCCCAACCCGUGGGCUUUAAAGCAGCCACCCACAAAGAGUGCGUCAAAGCUCCAAACCAAAAAAUCCAAAAACAACAUGACUCCCUACACUACACCCAACAGGCCAACCUAUUACAAUAGAUGAACCAAUGCUAAAACGAGUAACUAGGAUACCCAUCCCCUCAAGCGUCAGCCUGUCUACUGCUAACAGCACAACAAUAACAUCUCCCCGACCAAACAUUGGACAUACCCUGUCAACCCAACCCAGGAACGCACACCAGAGCGGUUAAAACUGCAAAAGGAACUCAGCAAACCCAAGGCCGACUGUUUACCAAAAACAUAGCCUUCAGCCAAACAAGUAUUGAAGGUGAUGCCUGCCCAGUGACAUAAUGUUAAACGGCCGCGGUAUCCUAACCGUGCAAAGGUAGCGCAAUCAAUUGUCCCAUAAAUCGAGACUUGUAUGAAUGGCUACACGAGGCCCUAACUGUCUCCUGCAGAUAACCAGUGAAACUGAUCUCCCUGUGCAAAAGCAAGGAUAAACACAUAAGACGAGAAGACCCUGUGGAACUUUAAAAUCAAUAGCCACCACACCACCCACCCUAAACCUUCAGGCCCACUAAACCCAAACACUGGCUAAUAUUUUUAGGUUGGGGCGACCAUGGAGAAAAACAAAUCCUCCAAAAACAAGGCCACACCCCCCCUGACCAAGAGCAACCCCUCAACGUACCAACAGCACCCAGACCCAAUAAAAUUGAUCAAUGAACCAAGCUACCCCAGGGAUAACAGCGCAAUCUCCUCCAAGAGUCCCCAUCGACGAGGAGGUUUACGACCUCGAUGUUGGAUCAGGACAUCCUAGUGGUGCAGCCGCUACUAAGGGUUCGUUUGUUCAACGAUU